UACGUAGGUGGCAAGCGUUGUCCGGAAUUAUUGGGCGUAAAGCGCGCGUAGGCGGCCCUGUAAGUCCGUUGUGAAAGUCAAAGGCUCAACCUUUGAAAGCCGAUGGAUACUGCAGGGCUGGAGUCCGGAAGAGGCGAGUGGAAUUCCUGGUGUAGCGGUGGAAUGCGCAGAUAUCAGGAGGAACACCAAUAGCGAAGGCAGCUCGCUGGGACGGUACUGACGCUGAGGCGCGAAAGCGUGGGGAGCGAACAGG
This 253-nucleotide ribosomal RNA is filed under the name uncultured bacterium. RNAcentral describes it as "partial 16S ribosomal RNA". It matches the Rfam family "Bacterial small subunit ribosomal RNA", at positions 524 to 776 of the family's 1533-position model. The record is from RNAcentral.